This 373-nucleotide ribosomal RNA is filed under the name uncultured bacterium. Its description in RNAcentral is "bacterial SSU rRNA". It matches the Rfam family "Bacterial small subunit ribosomal RNA", at positions 527 to 898 of the family's 1533-position model. The record is from RNAcentral.
AGAGGGGGCAAGCGUUGUUCGGAAUUACUGGGCGUAAAGGGCGCGUAGGCGGCCUUCUAAGUCGAACGUGAAAUCCCCGGGCUCAACCCGGGAACUGCGUCCGAUACUGGAGGGCUUGAAUCCGGGAGAGGGAUGCGGAAUUCCAGGUGUAGCGGUGAAAUGCGUAGAUAUCUGGAGGAACACCGGUGGCGAAGGCGGCAUCCUGGACCGGUAUUGACGCUGAGGCGCGAAAGCCAGGGGAGCAAACGGGAUUAGAUACCCCGGUAGUCCUGGCCCUAAACGAUGAAUGCUUGGUGUGGUGGGUAUCGAUCCCUACCGUGCCGAAGCUAACGCAUUAAGCAUUCCGCCUGGGGAGUACGGUCGCAAGGCUGAA